UUCUUUUCUUUGACCAUUUACUUCACCCCCAACACUUUUUCUAGGGUUCCUUUCAUCUUCUCCUCUCUACUAUUCUCUCUUCCUUUUCCAUCAGCUCUGAAACCUCUCAGAUGGCCAAUUUCCCUUCCUCUUCCUCUUCAUUAUCUGACAACCCAAUCAUAUCAGCAGCCGCUGCUGAUGCUUCUUCUUCGGGAGCUGCUGUUGACGAUGCAUUCGACGAUGCUUGCAGUAUCUGCCUCGAGCCUUU
Molecule: unclassified non-coding RNA, 247 nt
Filed under: Hevea brasiliensis (rubber tree)
Lineage: Eukaryota; Viridiplantae; Streptophyta; Magnoliopsida; Malpighiales; Euphorbiaceae
Source: RNAcentral